UUCAAUUUCAAGGAAAAUUCAACCAAAAUAUCAACAUAUAUAUAAGACCUGUAGCAAGUGGCAUACACCAAAGCACGGCCAGUUGUCGCGGCAGUGAGAAGUCCCAGCAACACCGAUAAGUGUCUGAAAGCCAUCUGUGGGCAUCUUGAGUACUCCAUCAUACCAAGGAUACACCA
Molecule: long non-coding RNA, 176 nt
Organism: Cryptotermes secundus
Lineage: Eukaryota; Metazoa; Arthropoda; Insecta; Blattodea; Kalotermitidae
Exons: 2
Source: RefSeq, a predicted model, not a curated record